AGUGAACGCUGGCGGUAGGCCUAACACAUGCAAGUCGAACGGCAGCACAGUAAGAGCUUGCUCUUACGGGUGGCGAGUGGCGGACGGGUGAGGAAUACAUCGGAAUCUACUUUUUCGUGGGGGAUAACGUAGGGAAACUUACGCUAAUACCGCAUACGACCUACGGGUGAAAGCAGGGGAUCUUCGGACCUUGCGCGAUUGAAUGAGCCGAUGUCGGAUUAGCUAGUUGGCGGGGUAAAGGCCCACCAAGGCGACGAUCCGUAGCUGGUCUGAGAGGAUGAUCAGCCACACUGGAACUGAGACACGGUCCAGACUCCUUCGGGAGGCAGCAGUGGGGAAUAUUGGACAAUGGGCGCAAGCCUGAUCCAGCCAUACCGCGUGGGUGAAGAAGGCCUUCGGGUUGUAAAGCCCUUUUGUUGGGAAAGAAAAGCAGCAGGUUAAUACCCCGCUGUUCUGACGGUACCCAAAGAAUAAGCACCGGCUAACUUCGU
RNAcentral lists this ribosomal RNA (491 nucleotides) under uncultured bacterium. RNAcentral's name for it is "partial 16S ribosomal RNA". It matches the Rfam family "Bacterial small subunit ribosomal RNA", at positions 29 to 506 of the family's 1533-position model. The record is from RNAcentral.